AUUGAACGCUGGCGGUAGGCCUAACACAUGCAAGUCGAGCGGCUGCACAGUACUUGCUCGCUCUUACAGCUGCCGACUGGCGGACGGUUCCUAAGUAUCUCCGUAGUUGCGUUUUCUUACGUGCGGACGCAGGGGCUCAUACGCUAUUACUGCAUAGGACCUACGUGUGAAAUCUUCGGACCUUCCGAUAUCGCAUGAUCCUAUGUGCCGAUGUCGGAUUAGCUAGUUGGCGGGGUAAAGGCCCACCAAGGCGACGAUCCGUAGCUGGUCUGAGAGGAUGAUCAGCCACACUGGAACUGAGACACGGUCCAGACUCCUACGGGAGGCAGCAGUGGGGAAUAUUGGACAAUGGGCGCAAGCCUGAUCCAGCCAUACCGCGUGGGUGAAGAAGGCCUUCGGGUUGUAAAGCCCUUUUGUUGGGAAAGAAAAGCAGCAGGUUAAUACCCCGCUGUUCUGACGGUACCAAAAGAAUAAGCACCGGCUAACUUCGUG
Molecule: ribosomal RNA, 492 nt
Filed under: uncultured bacterium
Lineage: Bacteria
Description: partial 16S ribosomal RNA
Rfam family: Bacterial small subunit ribosomal RNA
Source: RNAcentral